GGGGGCAGGCUUACCAUGCAAGUCGAACGGGCACUUCGGUGCUAGUGGCAGACGGGUGAGUAACACGUGGGAACGUACCUUUCGGUUCGGAAUAAUUCAGGGAAACUUGGACUAAUACCGGAUACGCCCUUCGGGGGAAAGAUUUAUCGCCGAUAGAUCGGCCCGCGUCUGAUUAGCUAGUUGGUGAGGUAAUGGCUCACCAAGGCGACGAUCAGUAGCUGGUCUGAGAGGAUGAUCAGCCACAUUGGGACUGAGACACGGCCCAAACUCCUACGGGAGGCAGCAGUGGGGAAUAUUGGACAAUGGGCGCAAGCCUGAUCCAGCCAUGCCGCGUGAGUGAUGAAGGCCUUAGGGUUGUAAAGCUCUUUUGUCCGGGAAGAUAAUGACUGUACCGGAAGAAUAAGCCCCGGCUAACUUCGUGCCAGCAGCCGCGGUAAUACGAAGGGGGCUAGCGUUGCUCGGAAUCACUGGGCGUAAAGGGCGCGUAGGCGGACUCUUAAGUCGGGGGUGAAAGCCCAGGGCUCAACCCUGGAAUUGCCUUCGAUACUGGGAGUCUUGAGUUCGGAAGAGGUUGGUGGAACUGCGAGUGUAGAGGUGAAAUUCGUAGAUAUUCGCAAGAACACCAGUGGCGAAGGCGGCCAACUGGUCCGAUACUGACGCUGAGGCGCGAAAGCGUGGGGAGCAAACAGG
Molecule: ribosomal RNA, 690 nt
Filed under: Allobosea vestrisii
Lineage: Bacteria; Pseudomonadati; Pseudomonadota; Alphaproteobacteria; Hyphomicrobiales; Alloboseaceae
Description: bacterial SSU rRNA
Rfam family: Bacterial small subunit ribosomal RNA
Source: RNAcentral